CCUACGGGUGGCAGCAGUGGGGAAUAUUGCUCAAUGGCGGAAACGCUGAUGCAGCGACGCCGCGUGAGUGAAGACGUCUCUCGGUAUGUAAAGCCCUAUCAGCCGGGAAGAAAAUGCAGGUACCUGACUAAGAAGCACAGGCUACAUACGUGCCAACAGCCGGCGCGAUACGUGAGGAGCCAGCGUUAUCCGGCUUUCCUGGGUGUAAAGGGGGCGUAGACGGCGCUGAAAGUCCGGAGUGAAAGCUGAUGGGUUAACCAUGGUACUGCCGUGGAAACUGGGGACCUUGAGUGCGAGAGGGGCAUGCGGAAGUCCUGGUGUAGCGGUGAAAUGCAUAGAUAUUAGGCAGAACACCGGCGGCGAAGGCGGCCUGCUGGAGCGUAACUGACGUUGAGGCUCGAAAGCGUGGGUAUCGAACAGGAUUAGAUACCCUUGUAGUC
RNAcentral lists this ribosomal RNA (440 nucleotides) under uncultured bacterium. RNAcentral's name for it is "partial 16S ribosomal RNA". It matches the Rfam family "Bacterial small subunit ribosomal RNA", at positions 338 to 795 of the family's 1533-position model. The record is from RNAcentral.